AUAUCAAGUUGAAACACCGGUACCCCCGUACGAUCACCGAAGUUAAGCAACCUCGAUCCUGUUCAGUACCUAGAUGGGUGACCGGUUCGGAAUACCAAGUGCUGUAAG
This is a non-coding RNA of Acanthosepion pharaonis, 108 nucleotides long. NCBI's taxonomy places the organism in Eukaryota, Metazoa, Mollusca, Cephalopoda, Sepiida, Sepiidae. The record is from the annotation of a GenBank genome assembly.